Molecule: long non-coding RNA, 1473 nt
Filed under: Triticum aestivum (bread wheat)
Lineage: Eukaryota; Viridiplantae; Streptophyta; Magnoliopsida; Poales; Poaceae
Description: long non-coding RNA (TAES_LNC002410)
Source: RNAcentral
AGGCCAGCUGGGUUGCAGAAGCACGAAGCUCCCUCCUCACCAGGUUACUUCGUGCUCGACGUACGAGUCCACGUCGCCGGCGCCUCGACCCCACGCCCGCCCAGACCGCUAGCGCUCUAUCGCCCCGUUCUACCGGAGCCGUCUGCCCCACGUCGUCGUCAAGGGAGAUGUCGCGUCGGCUAGGCUACCGUGGAAGCGGACGCGAGAAGGCGCCCCCAGUUCAUUGUCUGUCCGCCUCCGUGUCAGCUGCAGGAAGGUGAGCUCAUGAUUACUGCCUCCGGCUCGCUCUUGGCCGUGCACGCUGGCUUUCCUUGCGCUGCCUCGCGCGUGCGGCUUGCAUGCUUCGGCUGCGUCGUGUGUAGUUCGCGGGCUAGAUGUGUAUCUGUGGUGUGCAUGCUGUGCUUUGCUGUGCAGCGGCAAAAUGCAGCCGUUGUUAUUAGUUUUCUCGUGUUCUGGGUUUAUCUUCCUCCGUUCGUCUUCUAUUUGUGGCGGUACUGCGAGAGAUAACUCAAACCCUUCAGUGCUUCAAUGAUUUGCUCUGGUGGCGUGAGAUUUUGAAUAGCUCCAACUGACCAAAGAAGUCUCUACAUGUAAAGAUCUGUUUUGUGCUAAUCCGUCAAUAAAAAACAUGUAAAGAUUGCCUGCUUUAUAGGUGUGUACUGGUUUUGAUUCUUCGCGUGCUUCCUUUGGCUUAUUUUACCUUUUUAUAUGGCGAGGCGUGGUACCUUUGUGGUCCAUCAUCCGGGCCGAUCGCUUUCUUGUUGGCCGUCAUGUGGUUCUAAAAGUCUUUCUUUUGGCCGGGAUCGCAUAUAUGCUAUUGUGAUAUGUGAAGAUCCAUGAUCAAAGUAUUAAUAGAGCUCCUCCUUUUUUUUGGCGAAUACUAGAGCUUCUCCUUGAGUGCAUGUUUGCAUGUAUUGCUGAUAAUUUUUGGGUUAUUACUUGUGGCAUUUUCUGCAUAGUUAUCUUAUGUUAGGAUCACAUCGUGUUGGGGCCGAUUCUUGUGGAUGGGGGUGAGCGGGCAUUUAUUAAAUUGCCAAACAAAAUUGUGGAAGUAAUAUUAACUUUGCCGAUCUCACUUCUAUGAAAUCAGGUGUGGUUCAUGUUUCUAUUUCUUUAUGUUCUUUUUAGUUACGAUGAUAUAUAAACUCAUGCAUCCACUCAAGUAGCAUUAUGCAACAUUAUAUUAUUGCAUAAUUCUUAUUUUUGAAAGCCAAAAAUCUAUAGAAGCAAAAAUGAUCAGUUAGAGGGAUGAAGGUAUAAUUAAGUGUAUUAAUGAUAUGUAUACCAUAGUGUGGUGGUUUUAUCAGUUGUUAUAUAUGUAUAGAUGAUAUGAAUCAAUGAUGAAGUAAUGUAUGUUUAUUAUACAAAUCAGCAUUCCAUGGUGAUGAUUCCCCAUCGAAUUCAAUCAAGUUAUACAUGGAUGGUAUAAGCCCGGAUAGAGAUUGACUGUAGGAAGUUUUUCUUCUUCACAUA